This is a long non-coding RNA of Momordica charantia (bitter melon), 1214 nucleotides long. RefSeq lists it as uncharacterized. The record is from RefSeq and is a predicted model, not a curated record. Lineage: Eukaryota; Viridiplantae; Streptophyta; Magnoliopsida; Cucurbitales; Cucurbitaceae.
UGGCGAUUUUCAAAGAUUUCGCAAUAAAAUGCAAAGUCACUCGCCGCGCGCUGCACCGCCACCGUGUCGCCGCUGCCACCUUGCCUUUUGUAAGACCAUCCCCGCAGCGUUUUUCAAAGAAUCACCCACGCCCUGUCAGUUUCUCUUGCUGCGGCGCCGCUCGCUUUCAAUCACCGCCGUCACCCUCUAGUUUGUAGAAAAAAUGUCAUAUCCAUACUAAAUAGAUCAGUUACAACAAGCACACGUACAUGGUGAUCAUCAGCAGACUCACCUGUUUCGUCAUUUCCUCCAAGAUGGGAGUGCGAUGAUACAUCUGAUUGACAGAACUAGAGGCUCAAGUUCUUCAAAGUGUUAAAGGUAACUAUACACAGUAAAUAAACCAACGUGCAGCCUGGAUGCCACAUUUUCUUUCACAAUCAGAGGAUAUACUCACGAACAAGUUCAAUUGAAGGCUAGAGUUUGGAGUGGGGUCGAAUAAAGUGACAAAUAUGGCGGUUAUAACCCAUCUCAAAGGUCAUUUCAUAUUCGACGACUCAGACCAAGUUAUGAUGGAUUUCAUUAAUCAUGUGAAGCAAAUAACGUACAAGGAAUAUAAGGUAAAGUUGUAUAAAUACAACAGAGAACAACCCACACCUGAGAUUGCUCACAACAAACAACUUGAAGAGUUGUUGGCAAGACCAGUAGAUUGGAACAUGUUAUCCGAUAGAUGAGAGAUAGAUGAGUGGAAGAUAGUUUACAAAUAUAACUUAUACUUAUUUUUUAUACUUUAUAUUCGAUAUUUUUUUAUAUAAUUUUCUUUUGCUAACAACAAUCUGAGACCAACAAAUGCAAUAGGAUGAAGCUCCCGUUCAACCAUCACGUUAGGUCGAAAGCGUUUGUUACUAUUGCCAAGGAAAAGUGCAGAAAGAGUAAGAGGGAGGCGAACACUUUGGUGAAAUUGAUUUGUUCGAGGAGACAAGAUACUCUGAUAUUAAAGGUUGGGUCGAGGGUGCCGAGACAACAUACAUAAAUUUACUACUCUUGUAAUAAUUAAUUUCAAAUUACAUUUGAAAUUAUUUUGUUGCUUUUGAACUAUUUAUGCAAUUAGACAUGAUACGUCUCAGAAAAGAAUCUAUUAGAAAAGGUAUCAAAUCGAUGUUAGACCCAGAAGUAAUAGAAAUGGUUCUUGGGUCUCGAUCAGACUAUGUUAAAAGCUCUGAUUGGGGCCCACAACC